Molecule: ribosomal RNA, 245 nt
Filed under: uncultured bacterium
Lineage: Bacteria
Description: partial 16S ribosomal RNA
Rfam family: Bacterial small subunit ribosomal RNA
Source: RNAcentral
UACGUAGGGGGCAAGCGUUGUCCGGAUUUACUGGGCGUAAAGCGCACGCAGGCGGUCGGUCGCGUUCGUGCUGACAGUCCCCGGCUCAACUGGGGAAGGCGUACGAAAACGGGUCGACUUGAGGGCUUCAGAGGGAUACGGAAUUCCGGGUGGAGUGGUGAAAUGCGUAGAUAUCCGGAGGAACACCAAAGGCGAAGGCAGUAUCCUGGGAAGUUCCUGACGCUCAGGUGCGAAAGCCAGGGGAG